Molecule: long non-coding RNA, 280 nt
Filed under: Elaeis guineensis (African oil palm)
Lineage: Eukaryota; Viridiplantae; Streptophyta; Magnoliopsida; Arecales; Arecaceae
Description: long non-coding RNA (EGUI_LNC053885)
Source: RNAcentral
GUCGAUGCUUGUGGGGGUUUAUCCGUCGGCAGAACUUGGAAAUGUUGCGGAGGCUCGACCGUCGGAGAGGUUCGAAAAGGUGUCGCUGAAGGUCGGACGUCGGUAGAACCCCUGGAGGGUCAUUCAUGACACGAACUUCGGCUGGGGGGGGAUUUUAUACCCAACACCAGUCUCCCUACUUUCGAGUUUGAGUUUCGAACGAAGGAAGUACAGAAAAAUUUUCACAGUUGAAGUCAUUUCCUUGAAUUCUGCACAUGACCACCCUUGAAAAUCUUGGCAU